Molecule: ribosomal RNA, 252 nt
Filed under: uncultured bacterium
Lineage: Bacteria
Description: partial 16S ribosomal RNA
Rfam family: Bacterial small subunit ribosomal RNA
Source: RNAcentral
UACGUAGGGUGCAAGCGUUAAUCGGAAUUACUGGGCGUAAAGCGUGCGCAGGCGGUUAUGUAAGACAGGUGUGAAAUCCCCGGGCUUAACCUGGGAACUGCAUUUGUGACUGCAUAGCUGGAGUACGGUAGAGGGGGAUGGAAUUCCACGUGUAGCAGUGAAAUGCGUAGAGAUGUGGAGGAACACCGAUGGCGAAGGCAGCCCCCUGGGAUAACACUGACGCUCAUGCACGAAAGCGUGGGGAGCAACAGG